AUACGUAGGUGGCAAGCGUUGUCCGGAUUUACUGGGUGUAAAGGGUGCGUGGGCGGCUCUGCAAGUCAGGUGUGAAAACCAUCGGCUUAACUGAUGGACUGCAUUUGAAACUGUGGGGCUUGAGUGGAGUAGAGGCAGACGGAAUUCCCGGUGUAGCGGUGAAAUGCGUAGAGAUCGGGAAGAACACCAGUGGCGAAGGCGGUCUGCUGGGCUCUAACUGACGCUGAGGCACGAAAGCAUGGGUAGCAAACAGGAUUAGAUACCCUGGUAGUCCAUGCCGUAAACGAUGAUUACUAGGUGUGGGGAGUCUGACCCUCUCCGUGCCGGAGUUAACACAAUAAGUAAUCCACCUGGGAAGUACGACCGCAAGGUUAAA
Molecule: ribosomal RNA, 376 nt
Filed under: uncultured bacterium
Lineage: Bacteria
Description: bacterial SSU rRNA
Rfam family: Bacterial small subunit ribosomal RNA
Source: RNAcentral